CGAGAACGCUGGCGGCAGGCCUAACACAUGCAAGUCGAACGGGAUCUUCGGAUCUAGUGGCGGACGGGUGAGUAACGCGUGGGAAUAUGCCCUUUGGUACGGAAUAGCCUCGGGAAACUGAGAGUAAUACCGUAUGUGUCCUCUGAUCGUGGUGAUCGGAGGAGAAAGAUUUAUCGCCAAAGGAUUAGCCCGCGUUGGAUUAGAUAGUUGGUGGGGUAAUGGCCUACCAAGUCUACGAUCCAUAGCUGGUUUGAGAGGAUGAUCAGCCACACUGGGACUGAGACACGGCCCAGACUCCUACGGGAGGCAGCAGUGGGGAAUCUUAGACAAUGGGGGAAACCCUGAUCUAGCCAUGCCGCGUGAUCGAUGAAGGCCUUAGGGUUGUAAAGAUCUUUCAGUUGGGAAGAUAAUGACGGUACCAACAGAAGAAGCCCCGGCUAACUCCGUGCCAGCAGCCGCGGUAAUACGGAGGGGGCUAGCGUUAUUCGGAAUUACUGGGCGUAAAGCGCACGUAGGCGGACUUGGAAAGUUAGAGGUGAAAUCCCAGGGCUCAACCUUG
Molecule: ribosomal RNA, 559 nt
Filed under: Albirhodobacter sp. E40
Lineage: Bacteria; Pseudomonadati; Pseudomonadota; Alphaproteobacteria; Rhodobacterales; Paracoccaceae
Description: bacterial SSU rRNA
Rfam family: Bacterial small subunit ribosomal RNA
Source: RNAcentral